RNAcentral lists this ribosomal RNA (1380 nucleotides) under Uperodon taprobanicus (Sri Lankan bullfrog). RNAcentral's name for it is "partial 16S rRNA". It matches the Rfam family "Bacterial large subunit ribosomal RNA", at positions 157 to 2563 of the family's 2925-position model. Lineage: Eukaryota; Metazoa; Chordata; Amphibia; Anura; Microhylidae. The record is from RNAcentral.
GCCCAAAACCCAGCCCUAAUCACCCGCAUGAAACUCAACUAUAUUGACUCACAAACUAAAACAUUUUUUUACAUUUAGUAAAGGCGAUUGAAAAGUGUCUAGGAGCCUUAAAAAUAGUACCGCAAGGGAAAGGUGAAAUAAAAAUGAAAUAAUUUUAAAGCAAUAUAAAGCAGAGACUAAUCCUCGUACCUUUUGCAUCAUGGUCUAGCUAGUCUAAUCAAGCAAAAAGCAUUUUAAGUUUGACCCCCCGAAACUAAGCGAGCUACUUCGAAACAGCCUCAUGGGCCAACCCGUCUCUGUUGCAAAAGAGUGGGAAGAUUUCCAAGUAGAGAUGACAGAUCUACCGAGCUUAGAGAUAGCUGGUUAUUCAGGACAAGGAUCUUAGUCCUACCUUAAGUCACCCAAUAACCACCAAUAUACAAACUGACUUAAGAGCUAUUCAAAUAAGGUACAGCCUAUUUGAAAAAGGAUACAACCUAAACUACCGGGUAAUGAAAUAUAUUUGCGACCAAGUGGGCCUAAGAGCAGCCACCUUUUAAAAAGCGUUAAAGCUUAAUCGCUAUGUCUAACAAUCCCAAUAACACAACAAAACCCUCACCCAGUACUGAAUGAUUCCAUACUGAUAUGGAAAACCAUAUGCUAGAACUAGUAACAAGAAGAAGAACUUCUCUAAAAUACAAGUGUAAACCGAAAUGAACAAUUCACCGGUAUUUACCGCCAAUGAACACGCAGUAGCAACACACACAAGAAAAUCCUACUCACCUGGACGUUAAUCUUACACCAGAGUAUUUCUAGAAAGAUUAAAAAAUGGAGAAGGAACUCGGCAAACUAUUAACCCCGCCUGUUUACCAAAAACAUCGCCUCCCGACAAAAUAUGAGAGGUCCAGCCUGCCCAGUGACAAAGUUAAACGGCCGCGGUACCCUAACCGUGCGAAGGUAGCGCAAUCACUUGUUCUUUAAAUGAGGACUAGUAUGAACGGCAUCACGAGGGUUAUACUGUCUCCCCCAUUUAAUCAGUGAAACUGACCUCCCCGUGAAGAGGCGGGGAUAAAACUAUAAGACGAGAAGACCCCAUGGAGCUUUAAACUCAACACCAACUAUUCUAUUAAAUAUCAUACAAGCUGAAUAGAUCUGGCUGUUAGUUUUCGGUUGGGGUGACCGCGGAGUAAAACAAAACCUCCACGAUGAAAGGACCAAACCUCCUAAUCAUAGAGCGACAGCUCAAAGAAUCAACAAAUUGACAAAAAUUGAUCCAAUUCAAUUUGAUCAACGAACCAAGUUACCCUGGGGAUAACAGCGCAAUCCGCUUCAAGAGCCCCUAUCGACAAGUGGGUUUACGACCUCGAUGUUGGAUCAGGGUAUCCCAGUGGUGCAGCCGCU